GUUCUUGCGGAGAAGUGGUUAACGCGACUGACUUCAAACCAGGAGAUCUCGGGUUCGAUUCCCGACGGGAACA
Molecule: non-coding RNA, 73 nt
Organism: Penaeus vannamei (Pacific white shrimp)
Lineage: Eukaryota; Metazoa; Arthropoda; Malacostraca; Decapoda; Penaeidae
Source: the annotation of a RefSeq genome assembly